This 705-nucleotide ribosomal RNA is filed under the name uncultured Enterococcus sp. RNAcentral's name for it is "bacterial SSU rRNA". It matches the Rfam family "Bacterial small subunit ribosomal RNA", at positions 68 to 752 of the family's 1533-position model. The record is from RNAcentral. Lineage: Bacteria; Bacillati; Bacillota; Bacilli; Lactobacillales; Enterococcaceae.
CCUCCCGAGUGCUUGCACUCAAUUGGAAAGAGGAGUGGCGGACGGGUGAGUAACACGUGGGUAACCUACCCAUCAGAGGGGGAUAACACUUGGAAACAGGUGCUAAUACCGCAUAACAGUUUAUGCCGCAUGGCAUAAGAGUGAAAGGCGCUUUCGGGUGUCGCUGAUGGAUGGACCCGCGGUGCAUUAGCUAGUUGGUGAGGUAACGGCUCACCAAGGCCACGAUGCAUAGCCGACCUGAGAGGGUGAUCGGCCACACUGGGACUGAGACACGGCCCAGACUCCUACGGGAGGCAGCAGUAGGGAAUCUUCGGCAAUGGACGAAAGUCUGACCGAGCAACGCCGCGUGAGUGAAGAAGGUUUUCGGAUCGUAAAACUCUGUUGUUAGAGAAGAACAAGGACGUUAGUAACUGAACGUCCCCUGACGGUAUCUAACCAGAAAGCCACGGCUAACUACGUGCCAGCAGCCGCGGUAAUACGUAGGUGGCAAGCGUUGUCCGGAUUUAUUGGGCGUAAAGCGAGCGCAGGCGGUUUCUUAAGUCUGAUGUGAAAGCCCCCGGCUCAACCGGGGAGGGUCAUUGGAAACUGGGAGACUUGAGUGCAGAAGAGGAGAGUGGAAUUCCAUGUGUAGCGGUGAAAUGCGUAGAUAUAUGGAGGAACACCAGUGGCGAAGGCGGCUCUCUGGUCUGUAACUGACGCUGAGGC